GGGACGAACGCUGGCGGCGUGCUUAACACAUGCAAGUCGAGCGGAAAGGCCCUUUCGGGGGUACUCGAGCGGCGAACGGGUGAGUAACACGUGAGUAAUCUGCCCUGCGCUCUGGGAUAGCCACCGGAAACGGUGAUUAAUACCGGAUAUGACCUGUCCCUGCAUGGGGGUGGUGGAAAGUUUUUUCGGCGUGGGAUGUGCUCGCGGCCUAUCAGCUUGUUGGUGAGGUAAUGGCUCACCAAGGCUUUGACGGGUAGCCGGCCUGAGAGGGUGACCGGUCACACUGGGACUGAGACACGGCCCAGACUCCUACGGGAGCAGCAGUGGGAAUAGUUGGACAAUGGGCGAAGCCUGACUCAGCAACGCCGCGUGAGGGAUGGAACGGCCGUUCGGGUUACGUAAACCGUUCGUUUUAAGGAGGGAAGAAGACGAAAGUCGAACGGUACCU
Molecule: ribosomal RNA, 448 nt
Filed under: uncultured soil bacterium
Lineage: Bacteria
Description: bacterial SSU rRNA
Rfam family: Bacterial small subunit ribosomal RNA
Source: RNAcentral